CUUAUCACGAGUGGCAGAGGGAAGGGCCCGAUGAAGUCACGGCAACCGGCUGAACAGCUUCAGCGGCUCGGUGCCAAAUCCCACAGCGUAGCACACAGAUCAAACGCUGACAGAUAAG
RNAcentral lists this non-coding RNA (118 nucleotides) under bovine gut metagenome. RNAcentral describes it as "SAM riboswitch (S box leader)". It matches the Rfam family "SAM riboswitch aptamer (S box leader)". From Rfam's summary of the family: The SAM riboswitch is found upstream of a number of genes which code for proteins involved in methionine or cysteine biosynthesis in Gram-positive bacteria. The SAM riboswitch acts at the level of transcription termination control. RNAcentral also lists the same sequence under 1 other name. The record is from RNAcentral.